RNAcentral lists this ribosomal RNA (253 nucleotides) under uncultured bacterium. Its description in RNAcentral is "partial 16S ribosomal RNA". It matches the Rfam family "Bacterial small subunit ribosomal RNA", at positions 524 to 776 of the family's 1533-position model. The record is from RNAcentral.
UACGGAGGGUGCUAGCGUUGUUCGGAAUCACGUGGACGUAAGCGCGUGUAGGCGGUUCGGUAAGUCUGCUGUGAAAGUCCAGGGCUCAACCCUGGGAUGCCGGUGGAUACUGUCGGACUAGAGUACGGAAGAGGCGAGUGGAAUUCCCGGUGUAGCGGUGAAAUGCGCAGAUAUCGGGAAGAACACCCGUGGCGAAGGCGGCUCUCUGGGACGGUACUGACGCUGAGGAGCGAAAGCGUGGGGAGCGAACAGG